UACGUUUUUCUAUCCUGUAGAGACCGGUUAGUGGAAUAUUUGCACUUCUCCAACUUUCUCCCGGAUAUUGCACGAAGCACAUGUUAGCUAACGGACCUCGGUGAUUCAAUAAGAGUGAAGAGCUGUAUCUCGUAAUCUUAUUGCGAAACCGAAGCAGACGCGUUGAAAUUAAUACGUGUGUACAGUACUACCCCCCGGGCCUAGGCUGUGAAGUCCAAACUCAAAUAAUAUGAGUGUUCAUAAGAGGAGGGUGGUGUUUCCUCCGUGUAGCGAGAAAAUCCGAGGUGUUAGAAAGUAUCGUCAAUGCAGAACGUCCCCCCCUCACAUAAUACUGACGCCAGGCGAAAAAGUGUGGGGAGAGAACAAGAUUAGAUACCGUGGUAGUCCACGCUGUACACGAUGAGGACUAAAUGCCUCUAGGGGAACCUAGCAGCAUGAAGCUAACGCGAUAAGUCUUCCGCGUGGGAAGUACGGCCGCAAGGUUGAAACUCAAAGGAAUUGACGGGGGCCCGCACAAGCGGUGGAGCAUGUGGUUUAAUUCGAUGCAACGCGAAGAACCUUACCUACCCUUGACAUCCUGCGAAUCCCGAUGAGAGUUGGGAGUGCCGAAAGGAACGCAGAGACAGGUGCUGCAUGGCUGUCGUCAGCUCGUGUUGUGAGAUGUUGGGUUAAGUCCCGUAACGAGCGCAACCCUUGUCCUUAGUUGCCAGCAUUAAGUUGGGGACUCUAAGGAGACUGCCGGUGAGGAACCGGAGGAAGGCGGGGACGACGUCAAGUCAUCAUGGCCUUUAUGGGUAGGGCUACACACGUGCUACAAUGGGGCGUACAGAGGGUCGCCAACCCGCGAGGGGGAGCCAAUCUCUUAAAGCGUCUCGUAGUCCGGAUUGGAGUCUGCAACUCGACUCCAUGAAGUUGGAAUCGCUAGUAAUCGCGAAUCAGCAACGUCGCGGUGAAUACGUUCCCGGGCCUUGUACACACCGCCCGUCACGUCAUGGGAGUGGAUGGUACCAGAAGUGGGUAGUUUAACCGUAAGGGAAACGCCUACCACGGUAUGAUUCAUGACUGGGACGAAGUCGUAACAAGG
This 1084-nucleotide ribosomal RNA is filed under the name uncultured bacterium. RNAcentral describes it as "bacterial SSU rRNA". It matches the Rfam family "Bacterial small subunit ribosomal RNA". The record is from RNAcentral.